This 9833-nucleotide long non-coding RNA is filed under the name Rhagoletis pomonella (apple maggot). Its description in RNAcentral is "uncharacterized LOC118746065". Lineage: Eukaryota; Metazoa; Arthropoda; Insecta; Diptera; Tephritidae. The record is from RNAcentral.
UAAUGAUAUUAAAGAAUAAAAUAAAAUUGUUUAAAUAAUAAUAAACAUUUUUAUCUAAUUAAAUUUUUUUUCUUAGGAACUGUACAGAAAAAGCAAAGCAACUUUCUUCCAACGAGCAAUAAAAAAGUAGUUAAAAAUGUUUGUUUUUUGUUUUAUGUUUUAUCACUGGCGUGGAUAUGAAAAGAACUGAUGGCAAAGCUGUUUAGUAAAAUUUUUAACCCAGUUUUUUUUUUUUAUUUAGCAAAUAUAAACCAACCGUAAACAAUUUUAAAAUUUAUCCAUUUUUUCUUAAAACAAAAAAAAAAACACACCUUAGCUAUUUUGAAGUUUUUGUGCAGGUGAAAGCGUGUUUAGAAGAAACAAAAUACUAGUUUAACAAGGAAUAAGAACCCAACAUAGAUACACAAUGUAACGCAUUGAAAACAGAAAAACGUAUUUACAAGAAAAGUAGUUUUUUAAAACAAGAAGGAAAUUAGUAAUAAAAUAAUUAAAAGAAAAAGAAGCGAAAAUAGAGUAUUUGAAAAACAGAAAAAAAAAACACAACAACUGGCGAAAUAAAAUAAAAAUAAAAUAAAAAACAAAAAAAUGUAGUGAACAAGUAAGAAAACCCAGCAAAAGCUAUAAAGCGAGCAGUAAAACUUAAGUAAAUUAAAUAAAAAAUAAAGAAGAAAGUAGUUUUAUAUGAAAGUUGAAACCAAGAAAAUAGAAAAAAAUUUAAAUACUUAUAGUAUUAAGGACAAAACUGAAAUGAAAAAGAAAAUCAAGCAACAACAAGUAAACACACUAAAAACACAAUCAGUCACACCAACAAACACACCUACACACACUUAUCAUAUUAAGUGAAUAUGUAUGUACAGCGAAAGCGAGAUGCGUUAAUUGAAAUGAUGAGUUAUUAUUUACAUUGAGAAUUGUAGCAAAAACAAUAAAAGAAAAACGCCUACGAAAUAGUUGCGUAAUGCCACAACAACAACAUAGAAACUACAAUAGUUGCAGCAUUGAAAGUGCACACAAAAGGAAAUUGCAGAAAAUAAAACAGAAACAUCUGGAAAAAUUGGUGUCAAUAUUUUUAGCAAAUUAGUUGAACUUUUAUUUUCCAUUUUUUUUUUGCUUAAAAGUAUUUGUUGUAAUUUUUAAUUGAAUUAAAAUAAAUCUUAAUAUGAAAGUACAUAUUUAUAUGUAUGCUUUUGUGUUGUUAAUUACUGUUUGUAUUUGUGAUUUUAUUUUCAAAUAAAAAUAUAAUAAAAUAUCUACAAAAAAUUAAGUGAAAGGUAUGCUGAGCAGCAAUUAAAAGUGUCAAAUACAUACACACGUGCAGACGAAAGGGAUCAUAGGACAUACGAAACACUGAGGCUUUUCCUUUUACCCGUUGUUUAUUUUUUAUUUAUAUCUUAAUUUGUUGCACAUUAAAGGUAUUUGUUGUAAAUGAUAAUAGUGCAAGCAUACUUCCUCAUUUAAGAUUCGUGGAAUUUUUUUAUGUGGGUAAUCGAAGAAUUCCUUACAGCAGGCAACCCCACCUUUAAUGUUUUGUUUAUAUUUUUCAAAUCAUCGAGCGGAAAUGUUUUCUUAUCGCGAUCCGAUAAGAUUAAGGAAUCACGCACAGCCGGAAGAGUAUGAAAAUAUUAUAUUGUCUUUGGCAGUAUCGAUACCGAAAGUUACAAGUAUACGAUUUUCAGAAAUAAUGUCGGUAACCGAUUCAUAAAAGUAUCUAUACUGAGUACUCAAAACAUAUCGAAGUACUAGGCACUUAAAAGUUCUCCAUAUCGAUUCCGAAGAGAUACUCAAAAGUACUCAGUGCUAAAUAUUUGAACGAUAUUGGUAGCCAAGGUUAUUCAAAUUCAAAAAUGCUUAGAUGUAUGAUGUCUAAUGCAAAAAAAAAACACUAACACUAGAUACUUCACGCGUGUAUUAACUACUUAAAAAGUAGAUGGACAAGCUAUUUAAAUCGAGUGUCAGCUUUGUCCUCUUAAUAUUUUUUUUUUAAAUCCGAAUAAUUUUUAAUCCAUUAGUUUAAAAGCAUCUGUUUAAAAUAUCCGAUACUAAAAAAUGAUUCUCAAGAGUCGAUAACCAAGUACCCGAUCUUCAAAACAACUCAAUAUAUACUGCCCAGCACUAGAAAAUUUGUGAAAACUGGAACUUAAAUACAUAUUAGUUUGUUUAAUUUCCAAUUAAAUUAAAAUGUAAAGGUAGGAUCCCACUAUCGGCGCAAAUAGCACAAUAUGUACCGAUUUUCAUCGUGCUUGAUUGAUACAUAUUAAAAAAUUUUGUAUAACUAUUUUUUGAGUGGUCCCCCCCAUUAUCAUCGCAUUUGUUACAAUAUUUUUCGGUGCAUAUCGGCCAAACUAUACAAACACAGUAUCGUGGUUCAUUAAUAAUAACAAUAAACAAAUUUUCGACUUUGCUCGGGGCAUGAGCCGCAUUUUUUAUAAUUUCGCUACAGCAAUAUUAGUUUUGGUUGUUUACACUCAGCACAAUUUCGACCCAGAUACACACUAAUGGUAUAUGAAAUGCGCCAAAAAUCGGCACAUUGCUUCGAUAAUGGGAUCUUAGCUUAAAACUUUGAAGACUAAAAUUCGUCUGCCCUGCAAUAAUUUCGCAUUCGGUUCAUUUGAUUGACAAUUAAUCACAUUUUGCUUUUCUUCAUGCGACACACAGGGAUAAGAAAAUCAUGGCGGUCGUUUAAGGCAUAAGGUAUCACAAAUUAUUUUCAGUUUCAGACAAAAAAUAUUCUCGUCGAAAUUCUAUUACUAAAAACAGGCGAUGGAAGAUUCUGGUUUGGAACUUCUAUGCUGUUUUCUUGAUCAAACCUAAUGUUAAUAAAAUAAAUAUGGACCAAAAAAUACAGAUACUUUGAAGUGAGCACGAUUAUUUCAAUGAUAUUCGAAAUUGUUCAGGAAAAAUGAGUAGGAAGUCGAGCUUCUAAAAAAUCAGCACAUUUUUCUCCAAAGACAGUGAGCACUUUGUAAUCGGCCCUAUCGCGAAUUUCACAUGAACAUAUAUUCACAAAAAUUAUAAAGCAAAACAAAAACAAUUUUUCCCAAUUUGUUUUUGUUUUGCGCGUUAAAUUAUGGGAACAAUUUAUUCACAUGAAAUUGGCGAUACCGCAUAUAAGUAUUUCAAUUCGCUUUUGAAGACAAUUUCAUAGAUGAGUGGCGGCAUAGGCAUCGAAUCAAUUUAAUUUUUGAGGGCAGUAUUUGAGCAAGCGGUUUCGAAACUUAUAGCAAAAAUGCAAUUGAUAGAGUUCUAAUUGAUCAAUACAACGCGAGCAAUAGCCUCAAUAUUUUCUCCGAUGACUCACAAAUAAUUUUCAUUAAAUUUAUUCCCAGGAAAGAAAGGCGAGCUUCAAAAGUAAAAGCAGAAGAAUACUUAAAUACUUCAUCCAGAAAUAAACUUUAGCGUAAUCUUGAAGCAACUUGAACUAAUGCCGAAGCAAAUUCUCAACAAAUUUCAUUAUUUUUUGAUUAAUUAUUUAGGGUCCCAUAUUCAAAUACAUAUUUAAAAUGUAUACAUAUGACUUACCUGAAAGGGAAUAACUUCACAGAAAUAUUGUCAGAUAGGUGGCGCUCCACAAAAAAUUUUGCCUUUAGCUGAUGCGGGGUCCUUUUUUAAUAAUCACUAAUACAAGUUCGUCUUAAAUUAUGUUUUUUUAAUUACUUGUUUUGUGUAAGCUCAACUUUCUGUUCAUACAUAUGUUUUGAUUGUUUUUGUUGUUCUUUUUCGUAUUACUACUUUUGUUCAUAUUUUGAAUACAUAUUAUGGCCUUGAAUAUUUUAAAGCUAAACAAUCAGUGUUGGCUGGAGAGAGCUUUUACUCUAUGCUUGCCAGCGAAGAUCACAGACAGCUUUAAAACAACUUUGGCUACGUUUUGUGACUAUAUGUCUAUGCGCUGUUUACACGCGGCAACUCAUAACAUGUAGGAUAAAAGGCAAUGAGGAAAGGGUGGUCGUCCGUGCUCCGUCUACGCGAUGUUUUUUCUCGUUUACCUUAGUAAAUUAGCUUUUAACGGCGAUUGGGUACAGGAACUUUUGCUUCGUGUAAACGAAACAAACAACAGCAAAACAACAAAAGUUGCCGUUUUUAAACUCUGUUUUAUUGGUAUUAAUGCCUAGAAACCUUAAAAAGCUUGGAAUGCGAGCCUCUGAGGUGUUCAACUUUGAUUUAACUAUACGUAUUUAUAUUUUCUUCGACUUUUUUAAGCUCCCUACCUGCAUGCGUAUAUGUAUGAUUUUUUUUUAACUUCUGUGCAUAAGGCCAAACACAACAUUCCACAAUGCACUUGUCAUUUGAUUAACGAAAUCGUUAAAGAAAAACAAAACAAAUAGUCGCUUUAUGAUCCUUUAAAUGCACUAGCAGUGCGGCAAAUGUCUUCCUUCUACAUAUAUAGUAUUCAAAAUAACCACUAUAUAAAAUUAAUAUACAUACAUAAACAUUUUUUGUAUAACAGAUAUUUUUUAAUAUUGUAUAUUACCAAAUAUGUAUGUCUUAAUAUAUUACAAAGUUAUUUACAAAUUAUAUACAUAUACAUACAUACAUCAAAGCAUAAAGACUUUAAGGAUCAUAAAUGCAUACACAAUAUUUUCCAUUUUGUAUAAUUUUCAAAUAGGUUAAACUUUUUCAAAGCCUUAUGCCUCAAAAGAACAUUUUAUUUACAUAUAUAUGUAUAUGUAUUUCCUUUUUCUUCGGUCUAUUUAAUGGAGUAUGGCAUACCUAGAAAAUGUAUGUAAUAUGUAUAUUUAUGUAUGUAUAUGCAAUCAGCGGAUUUCCAAUAUGUCAUAACGAGCUAUAUUGUCAUAACGGUGAAAAAUAUUUCUAGCUGAUUCAAAACAGUCAUACGCAACGUAGACUGAGAACCCGUUUUCAAGGUUCAAGAACUUUGGUUAUUAUUGAAAGAACUUUGAUUACUAACCAACGUUCAACUAUUCUACAAAAUGAGACUAACUCUCUAGCCGAGUACUGGCCAGUGAGAGCAUCUAGCCUGUGUGCCCACAUACCAGUGACAGUCAGACAGAGCUUUUACUAUACGUAGGUGGUGGGCAUCGCUUGACCGCGGGCAAAGUUCUUUUAAGCUUUCAAUGUAUUUUGUAAAAGCGCGCUCGGAGUAAAACCUCUAUCUGCCCAUCGCUGGUAAUCUAUAGAAAGCUUCAGAAAGCUUCUCGCGCGGAAUUAGUUCCGUUAGUGACGAGCGGCUUUUCCCUGUUCACGCCGCUGCUAUAUAUGUACAUACAUAUGUAUGUAUGUGUAUUAAAGAGGAAAUUUUAUCAAAUAGUUGAAAAAAGCUUGGAUGCAUAGUUAUAAGGGGCCAAUUUCGAUCUAAUCUUAGUUCGGAAAGAUGCCUUUGGUUUACACUGCUUUUCUUGAAAGAAGUGAGUUGAACUCCAAGCGUUUACUUAGGAAUUAUGUAGCUAAUACAUAUUUAUGUAGGUACAUACGUAUUUAUGUAGCCGCAAUCUAUAAAGCAAAAGCAUAAACCCGGUGUUCGUUUACUGCCAAUUUCGGCUGCCAACACACUUUUAUGAAUUAGCCGCUAGAAAGCUUUUUUAAGUUUUUAUACCACUGAUGGGCACUGUCUUGCUCGCGGCAAAUCUCUUUUAAAUUUCCUAUACAUUUUGUGUAGGCGCAUGCAGAGUAAAAGCUCUCUCUGCCCAUCGCUGAUACAGAGUAAAAGCAAGGCUACACUCUGCUCGUCAUUGGUAUACUCUCAGAGACAUGAUCGUGGAAACGAAUGAACCUAACGCGUGUGCAGAGCUUUUUUAAGCCUUCAAUGGAUUUUACCAGAAAGAGGUUAUACCUUGUGCGCGCCUAUAUGAAACAAGCACGACCAAAAUGAAGACCAAGAGCAAAGUCUUUUAAAGCGUUCUACAAAAGACGAACACAGCUUUGCUGAGCUUGCUAUAGACUGUACGAGAAAAUCGUGUAUAUCCUGUGUACGCCUGUAUAAACAAGAAGGGCCAUAACAUAAAUAGCCCGCGAACAAAGCUUUUUAAAGCUUUCUAUAAAUUUUAUAUAAACACGCGCGGAAUAAAAGCUCUGAAGAUGAUCAGUGGCGACUGAUUUAAAAUCACCGAUAACGCACAGCGUUUUCAAUUAAAAUAAAGGGAAGACAAAAUCACAAAUACAAAUGCGAAUUUUCGUAUAAAGUUUUAAUGUGCAAUUUUUUCCAACCUGAUUUUUUUUUAAUUAUUAUUUUUUCUUGUUAUUUAUUAUUGUAGCUUUAUAUACUAUAUUACAAUCUCAGUGCAGUGUAUUAGAAAAUGGCUUAAAUAUUUCAAUAGAUCGUUACGAGGGUACUUUUGUUUAUUUGUUUACAAAUUUUUGGCGUCCGUGUUUUUGUAAAAAUAGAGUUAGCCUUUUACAUUUAAGCAAAGUUAUAUUUAAAUAAAUAAAGUUUAUUUUUAGCUUUUUCUGCCGUUCAAUUAGAGGGCAAAUUGUAUAACUGCUUUUGCAGAUUAAAAAUGUUAAGUAAAAAUAUAAAAAUAAAAAAACAAUAACAAAGAAACAAAACACAAACACAAAUGUGGCCGAUAAAACAUAUAAAAACAAAUAUUUUUUGAACCACAAAAUGCAGUGUUUAGAAUAACAAAAGAUGCAGCAGAAAAAACUGGCAAAGACAGCAGCAAGAAAAAAGUAGUAUGCAACUGCAGAAAAGUAAGAAUAAAUACUUAGACUAAGUAACAUUUGUAGUAAUAGGAAAAAAUAAUGAAAGAAAUCUAGCGAAUAAGUCUAAAUUAAGUCAAAAUUCGAUUAUAAGGAUUAAAGUAGGAGCAGCGUAAAACACAGCAAAUAAGCAGAUCAAGUAGCGUAGUUGGAAAAUUGUGAACAAGCAGGAGAAUGGCUUCUGACCACGCAAGCAGCGUGGCAAGCAGCAAGGAAAGGCGAAAAAUGCGUGGAAUCGAAGUAUAAUAAGAAAAUGUAGUUUGUAGAAUGUAGAAAGUAGCAAAAGGUAGAUAGAAGCAAGCAACUGUCAUUCUUUUACUGGUAAAGUCGAGUUUAAAACGGUGUCAUCGCUAAAAAUCUAUGAAAAGAGUGCAGAUUUGCUCUUGAAGUUGGCUAAUGCUGCACAAGCGUAUAUACAAUAAUGUCGCAUGUUCUUUUUUUGCGCCAACUCUAAUGCUGCUUUCGGUGUGAUAUUGAAAUUAAUAAAAUACAAAAAUGGCAAACUCACUACGCAUACAUUCAUACAUACAUAGAAAGUCUUUGUAAUUAUUCAAAAAUGCAUAUUUCAUUAAAGGUGUGCACAAUAUUGUGACGAGCUGGUAGAAAAAAAAACGUUAGCUGAGUAAUUUCAUUUCAUUGGGCUGUGAAAUUAAACUUUGAAGGCAAUGAGCAUUUGUUUAUUUGCUCAGACUCAUUCUGUAUGAAGAACGAAAGUAUGAAGCCUCCGUUUUUGCUCAUGACCCAAUAAACAGGUGAAGUAAUAAAACCGUUUUCUCGCUUAAUUUUCAGGGAAAAUUUUCAAAUGAGGCAGUGUCAAAUCUUUCUUCUCGCCCUUAUUACUUCGUCUGAGGUGUUUUGCCAAAGAAAUUAUUCGACAUUAGUGUUCUGCAGGAAACUUUUAAUUUAUGCGCGUCCAUUAUAUCAGUCGUCACUAAGUGGUAUAUAGCAGACUUAAAAAACAGAAGAAAAAAUAUUAGAGCUCUCAUAAGAAAUCAGGGACCGAGAACAUGUUCCGGUUUUUUGUUUAGUUCUGCAGGAGAACAAUUGGCCAAUUUUUCAUUUUUUGUGCAAUAAAGUCUUUCGUUGACUUAAUUUGCAUUUCAAACUAAUGCGCGCCUAUGAGAAAAUGUGUUUUCGCGCUUCCAUUUCCAGAGAACAUUUGUUCCUGUUUCGUUCUCUGUCAGAAUGGUCCCGAGACUUUAGCUCGCAAAUUGUUAUUCGAGUAAAAGUUUCUUAGACUUUUGUUACCAUUUUGUUCUUUGCCAGAACGUUGCGAAGACCUUUUUUCUCUUCAAAAUGUUCACGAACGUAUUGUUUACAUUUUUUUUUGCUUCGGUAACAUUCUCCGGUGUUUUGUGCCUAUAUAACAUUCUCGACAGGUUUGUUCACACUUCCGUUCUUGUUCGGGAGGAAGGUUUUGUUCUUAUUUCGGUUUGGGUUUUUUAGCGUUAUUGGGAACAAAACUACGAGAACCACAUUUUGGUUGCGAUCAUACCUUUUCUUCUCAAGGCAAGGCGUCAUAAGCAGACACUAGGAAGCGAAAAGUACUCGCCGUUUUUGGGCAUUGAACAUGCGAACAGUACCAGGCUAGGAGGAUGUUGGGGAGUCAUAAAAGGAAAGGAUUCAAAAUUUAAAAUUUGUCCAGAAUAUUAUCGUGUUUUCACGAACACCAUAUUGCGCAAUUGUCAGCUGACUUUGUGUGCGUGUCUGAAUUUGAAUGCAACAGAAAACAAAAAUUUUCUCAAUUUCAUGAAUACGACUCGCAUUUCCUUGUUGGGAGUGGUUUCUUAACCAGAAGAAUGUGCCACUCGCACAUAAACAAAACAAAAGAAACAGUCCAAAACGAUAAACUUGAAUAAAAUACUCGUUAGAAACAAUAGAUGAAACAGCAUUCAAAGAACGCGUUCAGCUUGUAUUUGGUAUUUUACUAAGGGUCCCAAAAACAAAAAAAAUCCAAACGAAAUCAUAAGCCUCAGUGUGACAGUAUUUGGUUUUGAAAUUCAGAGCAAUCGUGUAGAUAGUUGCGAUUACAAAAUGGUGAAAUGGUGAAAAUGUAAUUUAAUUACUUUUUUAUUUUCCAAAUUUGAAAGUACUUGGUCGACUACUACUUGCUUAAGAAUGAACUUUAGUAUGCAUUUUAUAGAAAAUCACUUCAUCGCAAGAAGUUAUUGGUAGUGGCCUUUAACUCAAAAUUUCUUUCUUUAAAAAGUACCUGGUGGAAGUGGUACUGCCAAUGAAGGAACCCAGCGCUUAUAAAAAAAAAAAACUACUCAGCCGCAUAUUCUUUACUUAAAUACAGCUAUAUAUUUCGAAAUUUAAGUACUUUACUGAAAUUUGAGCUAUUCCGAUAUCCUUACACAUGACAUACAAUGUAUGUACAUUCAUAUCGAGCCCUAUCCGCCAAAAAGAGGUAGCAACAUUUCUUUUUUCAAUUUUAUUUUUGAUGCAGAAAUGCAUUUAGAUGCUCCAGGAGAAUUUUUGCAUCAAAAAAAAUAAAAUUUCGAAAAAAUGUCGCUUACCUCUUUUUGGCGGUUAGGAGUCGAUAGUUAGACAUGCAAUAAUGCUACGCUUUCUCUUUAGGUAUUGUCAGUCUCUAUAGCCGCCUUCUAAUUAGAAACCGGAAUUCAGUAAAUUUGUAGAAAGAGUGCACCGAAGAGACUGCUUGGGGCAGCAAAUAAUAAGAACUUUAACGGCAAAUGCGAAAAUUAAUAAGAAAUCUGCAUAGUAAGAAUUGUGUGAAACCAUUUUUGGAAUAUGGCCAAUUUCGCACAUACAUACAUGUGUGUAAAUACAAUGGAUACCAUAUGUAUGUAUUGAGGUAAAAACACAGAGAAUUUGUGAAAAUUUCAAGAUUGUUAAAAAGAUGAAAAUGCAUGCAAGGUUAAUUACGAGUAUAUAUGUAUGUGAAGAGUGACAGUAUGUAGUCUAUACAUAAGUAGUACAUAAAAAAAAUCUCUGUAAAUGGAUAACAUAGAAGUAAACAAAAAAACAAACAAAAAAUUUAAAUGAAAUAAAAACAAAAACAAAUUUAAAAAAAGCGUGUAAAGUGCGCACACGCAUUGUUGCUUGAUGCAUUUGAUUUAACUUCUAAUUUGCAAAUGAACGAUUCAUGCUAAAAAUGCUUACAAACGUAAAAAGAAACAACAAAUCCAAAUAAAAAACCAUAAAUCUAAAACUCAAAA